AACGAACGCUGGCGGCAGGUCUUAGGCAUGCAAGUCGAACGGGUGAAGCAGAGCUUGCUCUGUGGAUCUAGUGGCGCACGAGUGAGUAGCGCGUGGGAAACUGCCCACCACUGGGGAAUAACGUUUGGAAACGAACGCUAAUACCGCAUACGCCGGAAACGGGAAAGAUUUAUCGGUGGUGGAUGUGCCCGCGUUGGAUUAGCUUGUUGGUGGGGUAACGGCCUACCAAGGCGAUGAUCCAUAGCUGGUCUGAGAGGACGAUCAGCCACGCUGGAACUGAGACACGGUCCAG
This 292-nucleotide ribosomal RNA is filed under the name uncultured bacterium. Its description in RNAcentral is "partial 16S ribosomal RNA". It matches the Rfam family "Bacterial small subunit ribosomal RNA", at positions 29 to 334 of the family's 1533-position model. The record is from RNAcentral.